RNAcentral lists this long non-coding RNA (269 nucleotides) under Arabidopsis thaliana (thale cress). RNAcentral's name for it is "long non-coding RNA (ATHA_LNC000009)". The record is from RNAcentral. Lineage: Eukaryota; Viridiplantae; Streptophyta; Magnoliopsida; Brassicales; Brassicaceae.
CUAGCUAUCCAAUUUCAUCACAUCUUAUUAACUAAAGAGCCUUUUACUUGCGCCACACUCUCACCGCAAUGGCCGCCUCGACAAUGGCUCUCUCCUCUCCUGCUUUGACCGGAAAGGCCGUUAAGCUAUCCCCGGCGGCCUCCGAAGUAUUUGGAACCGGCCGAAUCACCAUGCGCAAAGCCUCCAAGCCCACCGGUCCAUCCGGCAGCCCAUGGUACGGAUCCGACCGAGUCAAGUACUUGGGUCCAUUCUCCGGUGAGCCUCCGAGC